CAGCCGGGGGCUCCGGGGAGCCCUUCCCUCCUCUGGCGGCUGUUCGUGUUCCCGCUGAAUCUAGCUUCAAGCUACGGCGUUGGGGCGGCGAGCUCCGUUGAAAUGGCAGAGCCUUCUGCCCGAACGGCAAGGAAAGAGGAAGUCUGCUGUUGAAAGAUCUUCAUCUGUGCCUUUUUAUUGUUAUUUACUUAGUGCCAGGAGUGCGUAAGAUAAACUCGGAGACAUGUAUGAAGACAAGAUCCUGGCAGGAAGUGAUUUUUUCGUUCUGCUGCUUGCUCCUGCUGGAUCCUACAAAGCUUCGGCUCGAGUUUUGGCAGAAGGCCCUAUGAGAAAAAGGGAAAGCUAAGGAUGCUGGAGCAGAACAAUGGAUUUCUCUUUCUCUUUCAUGCAAGGGAUCAUGGGAAACACAAUUCAGCAACCACCUCAACUCAUUGACUCAGCCAACAUCCGCCAAGAGGAUGCCUUUGAUGCCAGCAGUGACAUCGCUGAAGAUGGUGGACAAACACCAUAUGAAACUGCCCUACAGCAAGGCUUUCAGUACCCUACGCCCACGACGGAGGAUCUUCCACCAAUCACUAAUGGCUAUCCACCAACAAUCAAUAUGUAUGAACCUCAAGCCAAAUACCAGACAUACAGUCAAUAUCCCAAUGGUUCAGCCAAUGGUUUUGGUACAGUUAGAAACUUUAGUCCCCCAGAGUAUUACCAAAUGGAAAACUCUAAUGCAAGACCGCAUGAAGUUCUGGAAAAACCUUCUCCUCCACAGCCGCCACCUCCUCCGCCACCUUCAGUUUCACAAACAGUGAUUCCAAAGAAGACUGGCUCACCAGAGAUCAAAUUAAAAAUAACCAAAACUAUCCAGAACGGCAGGGAAUUGUUUGAGUCCUCUCUGUGUGGGGACCUUUUAAAUGAAGUACAAGCGAGUGAGUAUGCUAAAGCGAAACAUGAAGGGAGAAAAGAGAAAAGGAAAAAAAGUAGCAAGCAUGACUCUUCCCGAUCGGUAGAGCGCAAGUCGCACAAAAUUCCAAAAUUAGAACCAGAGGAACAAAAUAGACCAAAUGAGAGGCUUAGCAUGCUAUCAGAAAGGCCAAGAGAAGAUACACUGUCAGAGGAAACACCGGUCCAGCAGUUCUUGCCUUCUCUUCCAACACAAGUCAGUCAUGACAUCAAGUUUCAGGUUGGCGAUCUGGUUUGGUCCAAGGUGGGAACAUACCCAUGGUGGCCUUGCAUGGUUUCAUGUGAUCCACAGCUUGAUGUUCAUACCAAAAUUAAUACAAGAGGUGCCCGUGAAUACCACGUUCAGUUUUUUAGCAACCAGCCAGAGAGGGCAUGGGUGCAUGAAAAGCGGGUUCGAGAGUACAAAGGACACAAACAGUAUGAGCAAUUAUUGGCUGAGGCUGCGAAGCAAGCUAGCAACCACUCUGAGAAACAGAAGAUUCGCAAACCAAGGCCACAAAGAGAGCGUGCUCAGUGGGAUAUUGGUAUUGCCCACGCUGAGAAAGCACUGAAAAUGACUCGAGAAGAAAGAAUAGAACAAUACACGUUCAUUUAUAUAGACAAAGAGCCAGAGGAAGUUUUGUCAAAAGCCAAAAAGACUGCUGCUUCUAAAUCAGAGGCUAAGAAGAACAGACGACCUAAGCCAGCGUUGAACACCCAGGCAGAACAUGCCAAUGCGGUAGCAGCAUCACCUUCAAAUGCUGAGGUGCGAAGACAAAGUCAAAGGAGGCAGUCAAGUGUGGAAGAAGAGGAGCCACCUCCUGUAAAAAUAGCAUGGAAAACUGCUGCAGCUAGAAAAUCUUUACCAGCUUCAAUAACCAUGCACAAGGGGACCUUGGAUCUUCAAAAAUGUAACAUGUCUCCAGUUGUUAAAAUUGAACAGGUUUUUGCUCUUCAGAAUGCUGCUGGGGAUGGAAAACUCAUCGAUCAGUUUGUUUAUUCUACUAAGGGAGUUGGUAGCAAAACAGAAAUAAGCGUCAAAGGACAGGAGAAGCUUAAUUCUUCAUCGAAUCAGAGAACGGAAAAAGCAACGGUGCAAAACGUGUCCUCUCCUGAAACAACUUCUGGGUCUACAGGUUCUGUAGAAAAGAAGCAACAGAGAAGAUCGAUUCGAACCCGCUCAGAGUCUGAGAAAUCCACUGAAGUUGUGCCAAAGAAGAAGAUCAAAAAGGAGCAGGUUGAAAUGGUACCACUGACUGCAGUGAAGACAGGAUUGCAGAAAGGUGCCAGCGAGAUUUCAGAUUCCUGUAAACCUUUAAAGAAAAGGAGUCGUGCCUCAACUGACGUAGAACUGACUAGCUCAGCAUACAGAGAUACAUCUGACUCUGACUCAAGAGGACUUAAUGAUUUACAGGUAAAAGGUAGUUUUGGAAAACGUUCAGACAGCCCAUCAGCUACUGCAGAUGCUGAUGCUUCUGAUGUGCAGUCAGUAGACUCGAGCUUAUCCAGGAGAGGAACUGGAACAAAUAAAAAAGACACUGUAUGUCAGAUCUGCGAAAGUUCCGGUGAGUCUCUGGUGUCCUGCGAAGGCGAGUGUUGCGGUGUCUUUCAUAUGGAGUGUCUAGGCCUGAAGUCGAUACCUGAUGAGAAGUUCAUCUGCACGGAGUGUAAAAAUGGAGAACAUACAUGCUUUUCAUGCAAACUUCCUGGCAAGGACGUGAAGCGUUGUUCUGUCAAUACAUGCGGUAAAUUUUAUCACGAGGCCUGUGUUCGCAAGUUUGCCACUGCUCUCUUCGAGUCACGAGGAUUCCGUUGCCCGCAGCAUUGUUGUACUGCCUGCUCAAUGGAUAAGGAUAUUCAUAAAGCGAGUAAAGGUCGCAUGGUGAGAUGUUUCAGAUGUCCCAUUGCCUAUCACUCAGGAGAUGGCUGUAUUGCUGCAGGAAGCUUGUUUGUGUCAUCCCACAUUCUCAUCUGUAGUAACCAUUCCAAAAGGAAUCACUCCUCAUCAGCUGUAAAUGUAGGCUUUUGUUUCGUUUGUGCAAGAGGGUUGGUAGUGCAGGAUCAUUCAGACCCCAUGUUCAGUUCAUAUGCCUAUAAGUCCCACUACCUACUGAAUGAAUCAAAUCGUGCUGAGUUGAUGAAAUUACCUAUGAUUCCUCCUCCUUCGUCAGCUUCCAAAAAGAAAUGUGAGAAAGGUGGAAAAUUAUUGUGCUGUGAAUCCUGCCCAGCUUCCUUUCACCCUGAGUGUCUCAACAUUGAAAUGCCUGAAGGAUGCUGGAAUUGCAAUGACUGUAAAGCUGGCAAGAAACUACGUUACAAGCAGAUUGUUUGGGUCAAGCUUGGAAAUUACAGGUGGUGGCCAGCAGAGAUCUGCAAUCCCAGGUCUGUGCCUCUCAACAUACAGGGCCUCAAACAUGAUAUCGGGGACUUCCCAGUAUUUUUCUUUGGUUCACAUGACUACUAUUGGGUACACCAGGGCAGAGUUUUCCCUUAUGUUGAAGGAGAUAAAAGCUUUGCUGAGGGGCAAACUAGUAUUAACAAGACCUUCAAGAAAGCACUUGAAGAAGCAGCAAAACGCUUCCAGGAGCUGAAAGCACAAAGAGAAAGCAAAGAAGCGUUAGAAAUUGAAAGGAAUUCAAGAAAACCUCCACCUUAUAAACAUAUUAAAUCCAACAAAGUAAUAGGGAAGGUUCAGAUUCAAGUAGCUGAUCUAUCAGAAAUCCCUCGCUGUAACUGCAAGCCAUCUGAUGAGAACCCCUGUGGCCUAGAAUCGGAGUGUCUGAACAGGAUGCUACAGUAUGAGUGCCAUCCCCAGGUUUGCCCAGCAGGAGAGCGAUGUCAGAACCAGUGUUUCACCAAAAGACUCUACCCUGAUGCUGAAAUCAUAAAAACUGAUCGACGUGGAUGGGGUCUCAGGACAAAAAGGAACAUUAAAAAGGGUGAAUUUGUGAACGAAUAUGUUGGUGAGCUAAUUGAUGAAGAAGAGUGCAGGUUGCGGAUCAAACGUGCCCAUGAAAACAGUGUAACCAAUUUUUAUAUGUUAACUGUUACAAAGGACCGAAUAAUCGAUGCUGGCCCAAAAGGGAAUUAUUCUCGUUUUAUGAACCAUAGUUGUAAUCCAAACUGUGAAACACAGAAAUGGACAGUGAAUGGUGACAUUAGAGUUGGACUUUUUGCUCUUUGUGAUAUUCCUGCAGGAAUGGAGUUAACAUUUAAUUAUAAUUUGGAUUGCCUUGGCAACGGUAGGACUGAAUGUCAUUGUGGAGCAGAAAACUGCAGUGGCUUUCUAGGAGUGCGCCCAAAGACAGCGUUUGCAACAGCAAAUGAGGAGAAGGUGAAGAAUGCAAAAUUAAAACAGAAGAAACGGAAAAUAAAAACAGAACAGAAGCAGAUGCAUGAAGACAACUGUUUCCAAUGUGGAGAUGGCGGAGAACUAGUCAUGUGUGAUAAAAAGGACUGUCCCAAAGCAUACCACCUCCUAUGCCUUAACCUGACUCAACCACCUUUUGGAAAGUGGGAAUGUCCGUGGCAUCAAUGCGACAUCUGUAGCAAUCCUGCAGUUUCAUUCUGUGAGUUUUGCCCUCAUUCAUUCUGUAAAGAUCACGAGAAGGGAGCCUUGGUGGCAUCAGCGUUGGAUGGCCGUCUCUGCUGCUCCACACAUGACCCCAAAUCUCCUGUGGCACCUGAGUACUGGAACAAGAUAAAGUGCAAAUUGGAAUCACAGAAUCCUGUAGAAGAAGCAAAGGAAUGAAUUUGCUUAAAAAGCAAGGGAGGGGAGAAGAGGGGCAAAUAGGUGAUGACCUUGAAGAGACUGCUAUUGACACGUUCAGUCUUUAUCAUCAGAGCCGCCUUGUUUGAACUGGGAAUGGGACCAUUUAAUCUUAGCCAGCAGAAGCAGGCAGUGAUGUUUGUUUUUUUUUUUUUUUUAUUGUUUGGUCUGUCUUUUACCCUUGAAUGUGCUACAGCAGCUCUUACUGUUGGAAAACAAGAACAUCUUGGCCUUCUUAAGAAAAGAAGUAGACCUUUUGACAGUGAGAAGAAUAUUCUGUUUAAAAUAUGUUCUUUGAGUGUAGAAGCAAAGCAUAGCAACAUAUUUAUUUAUUUAAUUUUUAAAGGAUGUUGAGGAUUUGAUUUUGAUCAGUCUGUGUAAUAGCAAAGCCAACGUAACUUUUAUGUCUAGUUUGUGAGAGAAGAAUAAAUCCUCCCCACUCUGUGUAACAUUCAACUGCCAUAAAGACAGAUGUGGGUUUUGGACCAGGUGACAGUGAAAUGCCUCCAUUCCAGUACUUAUCUCUUAAAGGCAUUUUGAGAAGUGGUAACUUACUGCAUGGAGAGGAAUAGCGUGGUGGUGCCAGAAUGCCUUCGCAAGUAUUUGAAACAGCAAUGAGCAGACAAUAGUCACCGAACGUUAAUUGCCAUGUGAAAUGUGCUGCUGUGACAUACUGGUAUGCUGGUUAUCAUGGAACACGUGAAGGUUCACAGAAGGCUUAAAAACUCCUAGAAGAUGCUAAGAGUUAUGAGGCCUAUUGCUACUCCUCUGCCAUGACACUUGAUAUCUUGGUUAACUUGUUUUCAAACUUCUCAUGGGUGCUCCUUUUAUUUUUCCAUGAAAAAUUAGUUAAUUAGAGCAGCCAGCGUUUGAGCUUGGACUUGAAAGGAGACUGGUCUAUAUGCUUUUACAAUUUACAAACAAAAAGCUUGGACUGGAUUUCACACUGUUGGAGAGAAGGUGAAUCUUUCAAAAGAUUUAAAUUUUCUGAAAUAAGAAAACAUCUAAUUCAUAGUAAAUUGAUAAAUGUAGUCAGUUUGUUCUAUAUGUUGAACACACAAAAUGUUAAAAUACACAUUUUAACCACAUCUUCAUGAACUGAAUAGAACAAUAAUGCAAUUCUAUUUUAAGGAAGAAGUUUGACAGUGAUGUUUUGAUUAACUGGCAUCAGCAGAGAGGAGAAUCAGCUAUUGAAUUAAAAUUUGUGGUCUCUCAAGUGAGAUAAGAAAGUAGUAUUCAGCAGUUUAGGGGUGUAGUUGUUUAAUGCUGAGAUUGAGGAGAAAUCUACAGAGCUACUGGUGUUUUCAGUUGAGUUCUUUAAUCCACUGUCCAGAACAGUCCGUUGUUCCUUAACUGGAACACGCAAUCAUACCUUUUCCUUAUUCGUGUCUUAAAUAUUUGAGCUAGUAUCAUGCUUCUGGUAAACACCCGACUCUAGAUCUUUAGUUUGUAUUAUCUAUAUAGUAAUGCAAUAUCUGAGCUGCUCUGUGAAGUUAACAGGAUUUUGUUGUUUACUGGAGCUUUUACUAUAUUGUAUGCACCUUAGCACGGAGCAGAAGUUCUGCAGGCCAUGGCCAAAUGGUGCAAUGGCUAGUUACUACGAUUUUUUAAAUACACGGUGCAAGCAUUAGUUAGUGUAGCUUUCGGAUUAUUAGCGUAGACUUAUCUUAUCAAUAGACUGUAAGAAUUAAAGGCAUUUGCAGCUCAGGACAAAGGCAAUUAAAGGCAAUUUUGUGGGCAAAUUACCUUCUCUGUUCACCACCAUGGUCUUGGAGAAUCUGUUAAAAUGGAAUGAUAGAGCUGGAAUGUUUGAUUCUGGCCUUUCUGCUAAAAAAUUUAUUAUAUCUGGAUUUCUGGGUAGAAUGGGAAAGACAAUUACUAGGCAUAAUUAACAGCAUAAAAUCUGUAUAUAUUGAAACUUUACAGAAAUAUUUGGGUGGGGCUAGGGAGGAGGG
Struthio camelus australis is the source of this 6657-nucleotide non-coding RNA. NCBI's taxonomy places the organism in Eukaryota, Metazoa, Chordata, Aves, Struthioniformes, Struthionidae. The record is from RefSeq and is a predicted model, not a curated record.